CCUACGGGGGGCUGCAGUGGGGAAUAUUGGGCAAUGGAGGCAACUCUUACCCAGCAAUGCCGCGUGAAUGAAGAAGGUCUUCGGAUUGUAAAGUUCUUUAAUUGGGGACGAAAAAAAUGACGGUACCCAAGGAAUAAGCCCCGGCGAACUACGUGCCAGCAGCCGCGGUAAUACGGAGGGGGCAAGCGGUGUUCGGAAUGACUGGGCGUAAAGGGUGUGUAGGCGGAUUUUUAAGUCAGCGGUCAAAUCGUGGGGCUCAACCCCAUCCAGCCGUUGAAACUGGGGAUCUAGAGUGUGCGAGAGGUAUGCGGAAUGCGUGGUGUAGCGGUGAAAUGCAUAGAUAUCACGCAGAACCCCGAUUGCGAAGGCAGCAUACCGGUGCACAACUGACGCUCAGGCACGAAAGCGUGGGUAUCGAACAGGAUUAGAUACCCUGGUAGUC
This 442-nucleotide ribosomal RNA is filed under the name uncultured bacterium. Its description in RNAcentral is "partial 16S ribosomal RNA". It matches the Rfam family "Bacterial small subunit ribosomal RNA", at positions 338 to 795 of the family's 1533-position model. The record is from RNAcentral.